RNAcentral lists this ribosomal RNA (458 nucleotides) under Synergistetes bacterium oral taxon 363. Its description in RNAcentral is "bacterial SSU rRNA". It matches the Rfam family "Bacterial small subunit ribosomal RNA", at positions 28 to 505 of the family's 1533-position model. Lineage: Bacteria; Thermotogati; Synergistota. The record is from RNAcentral.
GAUGAACGCUGGCGGCGUGCGUAACACAUGCAAGUUGGACGACGGUGUCAUGAAGUGGAAACACGGAAUGGCAUACGGAGUAGCGGACGGGUGAGUACAACAUGAGAAGCUGUCCUUCAGUGGGGGGCAACGUCUGGAAGCGGACGCUAAUACCCCAUAGGCCGAGAGGUUAAAGCAGAGAUGCGCUGGAGGAGGUGCUCGUGCCCUAUCAGCUAGUUGGUGAGGUAACGGCUUACCAAGGCGACGACGGGUAGCCGGCCUGAGAGGGUGAACGGCCACACUGGAACUGAGAUACGGUCCAGACUCCUACGGGAGGCAGCAGCUGGGGAAUAUUGGGCAAUGGGAGGAAUCCUGACCCAGCGACGCCGCGUGAACGAUGAAGGCCUUAGGGUUGUAAAGUUCUUUUAUGUGGGAAGAAGGAAGUGACGGUACCACAUGAAUAAGCCCCGCUAACUACC